GACAGAGGAGCCGGGGGGAGGGGAACGAAGAAGUAAACUGAGUCGAGCUUUUCUAAAACAUUCCAGGCAGGUUGUAUUGUACAGGCAGGAUCAGAAGACAAGAGAGAAUUCCCCCCCAGGGUCUGAGCACUCUACCCAGGGUAUAACCGCUCUCUGACUCCCAGGCCCCUGGCUCUAACUCCCCUGGCUUCUGGAUCUCUCAGAGUCAAACUCCUUUGGAACUUUGGAACUACCUCCCCCACCCUUCACUGCCAUCAUUCCCCAGCACCCCCACCAUGCUCCAGCACCCCCAUCCUACACUGCCAGCACCCCCAUCCUACACUGCCAUCAUUCCCCAGCACACCCAUCAUUCCCAGCACCCCCACCAUACGCCCCAGCACCCCCACCAUACGCGCACACACGGUGCUAGUUAAAGAAGGGGCCAGGUCUAUGGAAUACACCCCCAGCAGAGAGAGAGUGACAAGAAGGGACCAGGGCUAUGGAAUAGACCCCCAGCAGAGAGAGAGUGACAAGAAGGGGCCAGGGCUAUGGAAUAGACCCCCGGCAGAGAGAGAGUGACAAGAAGGGGCCAGGACUAUGGAAUAGACCCCGGCAGAGAGAGUGACAAGAAGGGGCCAGGACUAUGGAAUAGACCCCCAGCAGAGGAAGACAAGGGGCCAGGGCUAUGGAAUAGACCCCCAGCAGAGGGAGACAAGAAGGGGCCAGGACUAUGGAAUAGACCCCCAGCAGAGAGAGAGUGACAAGAAGGGGCCAGGACUAUGGAAUAGACCCCAGCAGAGAGAGAGUGACAAGAAGGGGCCAGGACUAUGGAAUAGACCCCCAGCAGCAGAGAGAGUGACAAGAAGGGGCCAGGACUAUGGAAUAGACCCCCAGCAGAGGGAGACAAGAAGGGGCCAGGACUAUGGAAUAGACCCCCCCAGCAGAGGGAGUGACAAGAAGGGGCCAGGACUAUGGAAUAGACCCCCAGCAGAGGGAGACAAGAAGGGGCCAGGACUAUGGAAUAGACCCCCAGCAGAGGGAGACAAGAAGGGGCCAGGACUAUGGAAUAGACCCCCAGCAGAGGGAGACAAGAAGGGGCCAGGACUAUGGAAUAGACCCCCAGCAGAGAGAGAGUGACAAAAAGGGGCCAGGACUAUGGAAUAGACCCCCAGCAGAGAGAGAGUGACAAG
Long non-coding RNA from Oncorhynchus tshawytscha (Chinook salmon), 1169 nucleotides. NCBI's taxonomy places the organism in Eukaryota, Metazoa, Chordata, Actinopteri, Salmoniformes, Salmonidae. The record is from Ensembl.